RNAcentral lists this transfer RNA (76 nucleotides) under Rhodoferax sp. Its description in RNAcentral is "tRNA-Trp". It matches the Rfam family "tRNA". From Rfam's summary of the family: Transfer RNA (tRNA) molecules are approximately 80 nucleotides in length. Their secondary structure includes four short double-helical elements and three loops (D, anti-codon, and T loops). Lineage: Bacteria; Pseudomonadati; Pseudomonadota; Betaproteobacteria; Burkholderiales; Comamonadaceae. RNAcentral also lists the same sequence under 1 other name. The record is from RNAcentral.
AUCUCGAUAGCUCAAUUGGCAGAGCGCUGGUCUCCAAAACCAGAGGUUGAAGGUUCGAAGCCUUCUCGGGAUGCCA